Molecule: long non-coding RNA, 883 nt
Organism: Hibiscus syriacus
Lineage: Eukaryota; Viridiplantae; Streptophyta; Magnoliopsida; Malvales; Malvaceae
Exons: 6
Source: RefSeq, a predicted model, not a curated record
CAGUUAUGUAGAAGCAGUAAUUGAGAUUCAGAUUCCUUCUUAUAGUGAAAGGGGAAGCGGUGCUAGAGCUAAUGAUCACUCUCAGGAUGGAAGGUAACCCUUCUUAUAGAGAAAGGAUUUGCCAAACUUCUGUAGCAGUUGCUCCCGGGGUUUCUCCUCAUGCUAGCGAUAAUAAUCAUAACCAAGUAGCCCUUGAUCUUAAUAAUUCAGCUUCUCGAAACCAUCAAGUGGAGGUCUUUCAUGAAUUUGAUCUAUGUGGUUCAGUUUCAGGUUUCAAAAGACAUCAACAGGUGGAAUGUAUAGGAAAGAUUAAUGAGGAUAUAACUACAAAUAUGAUUAUAAUCAUUAUGGAAACAGGGAUUAUGAUGAUCAGAUUGGUCAUGGAAGAGACCUUGAGUACGGAUAUAGAGAUGAUGGUCAGUGGGAAUUCAAACAUUUGUGUUACUUUCAUUGUGUUUUGCUUGACAUGAUCAUCUUCUCUGUUAGAGGAAGUGGUGCUGGAGCUGAUGAUCACUAUCGGGAUGAAGGUUUGACCAACUUCUGUAACAGUUGCUCUUGGGGGUUCUCCUCCUGCUAGUAAUAAUAAUCCUUACCAAGUAGCCCUUGAUCUUAAUAAUCCAGCUUCUCGAAAUCAUCAAGUGAAGGUCUUUGAUGAAUUUGAUCCAUUUGGUUCAGUUUCAGAAGAUGUGUGAGAUCCUCCACAUUCAAGGUGACCAGUGCGGCAACCAAAUCGGAGCCAAGAUUUGGGAGGUUGUUUGUGCCGAGCACGACAUAUAUCCAACCGAUCGUUACCAAGGAGACCAAGAUCUUCAACUCGAGAGAAUCAAUAUCUACUACAACGAUGAUGGGCUCUUCCAGCUCCAGUGAGGCCGCGAUGAAAACA